UAACGAAUCUUCCGCAAUGCACGAAAGUGUGACGGGGCAAUGCCGCGUGGUGGAUGAAGCCCUUCGGGGUGUAAACACCUGUCAGGGUUCAGGAACACAAUGACCAGACCCAAAGGAAGAGCCGGCUAACUCUGUGCCAGCAGCCGCGGUAAUACAGAGGGCUCGAGCGUUAAUCGGAAUCACUGGGCUUAAAGGGUGCGUAGGCGGAUACAUAGGCACUUUGUGAAAUCCCUCGGCUCAACCGGGGAAU
Molecule: ribosomal RNA, 250 nt
Filed under: uncultured bacterium
Lineage: Bacteria
Description: partial 16S ribosomal RNA
Rfam family: Bacterial small subunit ribosomal RNA
Source: RNAcentral